UUUGUCAGUCUUCAAGAAAUGUUUACGCUGUCUGUCCUAUAGUUUAUCGUUUUUCGAUAAUCAACACGCAAACCUAAUCACUCAAUAGAACACACCUGUGCGAUGAGGCCUCUAUUUAACAUUUAUUUUAUCGAGUACGGAGAUGUGUGCUACCGGAUGUUGCACAACAGACAAACAAGAAGGACAACUCAUACACACCAGUUAAACACACAUUGCGGAGGCUCGUUUGGUGAAAUGUGUUGACGUGACCAUUCCGAGAUUGGGCUUUGAGUUUUCGUUUACCAAUCAGGCA
Molecule: long non-coding RNA, 292 nt
Organism: Physella acuta
Lineage: Eukaryota; Metazoa; Mollusca; Gastropoda; Physidae
Source: RefSeq, a predicted model, not a curated record